Molecule: ribosomal RNA, 773 nt
Filed under: Levilactobacillus brevis
Lineage: Bacteria; Bacillati; Bacillota; Bacilli; Lactobacillales; Lactobacillaceae
Description: bacterial SSU rRNA
Rfam family: Bacterial small subunit ribosomal RNA
Source: RNAcentral
GGGGNNGGGACUAUACUGCAAGUCGAACGAGCUUCCGUUGAAUGACGUGCUUGCACUGAUUUCAACAAUGAAGCGAGUGGCGAACUGGUGAGUAACACGUGGGGAAUCUGCCCAGAAGCAGGGGAUAACACUUGGAAACAGGUGCUAAUACCGUAUAACAACAAAAUCCGCAUGGAUUUUGUUUGAAAGGUGGCUUCGGCUAUCACUUCUGGAUGAUCCCGCGGCGUAUUAGUUAGUUGGUGAGGUAAAGGCCCACCAAGACGAUGAUACGUAGCCGACCUGAGAGGGUAAUCGGCCACAUUGGGACUGAGACACGGCCCAAACUCCUACGGGAGGCAGCAGUAGGGAAUCUUCCACAAUGGACGAAAGUCUGAUGGAGCAAUGCCGCGUGAGUGAAGAAGGGUUUCGGCUCGUAAAACUCUGUUGUUAAAGAAGAACACCUUUGAGAGUAACUGUUCAAGGGUUGACGGUAUUUAACCAGAAAGCCACGGCUAACUACGUGCCAGCAGCCGCGGUAAUACGUAGGUGGCAAGCGUUGUCCGGAUUUAUUGGGCGUAAAGCGAGCGCAGGCGGUUUUUUAAGUCUGAUGUGAAAGCCUUCGGCUUAACCGGAGAAGUGCAUCGGAAACUGGGAGACUUGAGUGCAGAAGAGGACAGUGGAACUCCAUGUGUAGCGGUGGAAUGCGUAGAUAUAUGGAAGAACACCAGUGGCGAAGGCGGCUGUCUAGUCUGUAACUGACGCUGAGGCUCGAAAGCAUGGGUAGCGAACAGGAU